CCUACGGGAGGCAGCAGUGAGGAAUAUUGGUCAAUGGACGCAAGCCUGAACCAGCCAUGUCGCGUGAAGGAUGACGGCCCUACGAGUUGUAAACUUCUUUUGUACAGGGAUAAACUCAGAUACGCGUACCUGUUUGUAAGUACUUUAUGAAUAAGGAUCGGCUAACUCCGUGCCAGCAGCCGCGGUAAUACGGAGGAUCCGAGCGUUAUCCGGAUUUAUUGGGUUUAAAGGGUGCGUAGAGGGGUUGUUAAGUCAGAUGUGAAAGUCUGAGGCUCAACCGCGGAAUUGCCAUUGAUACUGGUCGGCUCGAGUGUAGUUGAGGUAGGCGGAAUGCGUGGUGUAGCGGUGAAAUGCUUAGAGAUCAUGCAGAACACCGAUUGCGAAGGCAGCUUACCAAGCUACUACUGACAUUGAUGCUCGAAAGCGUGGGGAGCAAACAGGAUUAGAUACCCUUGUAGUC
This 460-nucleotide ribosomal RNA is filed under the name uncultured bacterium. RNAcentral describes it as "partial 16S ribosomal RNA". It matches the Rfam family "Bacterial small subunit ribosomal RNA", at positions 338 to 795 of the family's 1533-position model. The record is from RNAcentral.